GGGCCCAUAGCUCAGUUGGUUAGAGCAGAGGACUCAUAAUCCUUUGGUCCCAGGUUCAAGUCCUGGUGGGCCCA
RNAcentral lists this transfer RNA (74 nucleotides) under Polynucleobacter meluiroseus. RNAcentral describes it as "tRNA_Met_CAT". It matches the Rfam family "tRNA". From Rfam's summary of the family: Transfer RNA (tRNA) molecules are approximately 80 nucleotides in length. Their secondary structure includes four short double-helical elements and three loops (D, anti-codon, and T loops). RNAcentral also lists the same sequence under 1 other name. Lineage: Bacteria; Pseudomonadati; Pseudomonadota; Betaproteobacteria; Burkholderiales; Burkholderiaceae. The record is from RNAcentral.